Hippopotamus amphibius kiboko is the source of this 107-nucleotide small nuclear RNA. The record is from RefSeq and is a predicted model, not a curated record. NCBI's taxonomy places the organism in Eukaryota, Metazoa, Chordata, Mammalia, Artiodactyla, Hippopotamidae.
GUGCUCACUUCAGCAGCACAUUUACUAAAAUUGGAACGAUACAAAGAAGAUUAGAAUGGUCCCUGUACAAGGAUGACAUGUAAAUCUGUGAAGCAUUCCAUAUUUUU